AUGGUAUAAGUAAGAAAGAGAAAAACUUUCGACUUUCAAGCUUAACGAAAUAUUAAUAUGUUAAAAGACAAAAAGCGUAACACAAUUUUUCAAGAAGAAGCUGGGAAAUGCGCAAUAGUUUGGUUCAUUUUUGGGUUUCAACCAGUAAGUUCUUAUUUGCUAAAUAUUUUAAUUACGAAGCCGAGAAAAAAUUAUUGAAGUAAGUUUACAAAAACUACUGGACAUUGCUGGCCGUAAUGUCACACGAUAUCUGUUUAAGGUUGGAGGCACUUAGUACACAUAUUAAUUUGGUUAUAAGUUUAAUCACACCUCUGCCUUUGAAACUGCAUGAUCAAAGAGAAACUUUGCAAUAUCACCUAUGACAUCGGGAUGGAACAUUACCUGAUGGUUAUGUGAUAAAAGUUUUGAGGAGCAAUUCCAACCGCAUUUAAUAAACGUUGAAGCACAAGGCAUCAAUGAGUCAGUGUUUACCACCAUACAAACGGCAAAUAUCGAUAUAUGACUGGAAUUGUACAAGCAUAUCUUGCGUGUGAGGAUAAAUUAGCGAUAUCCGUCUUCCAGGGCUCUACACUCUGGUACAAAAUUACAACGAGGCAUUUCGCCAGGCAAAGUUGGUGGUAUACUAACUUUAUUGCUUAUGGAAUAUAAUAUAUAAUAUAAAAAUUUGUCUGCUAAUUAUUGCACGCAAUGAUUGUCACUUCAGCAGUGUGACAACUCAGUUUUCAUUUCUAUGAAAAUUUCGAAGAGGCAACAUAUAUGUACUGGCGGCAGCUUCAUUUCGAUUAUUUUAAAUUUAUUAGCGCGAGUAUAACGGUGGUUGUGUUAAAUUAUAAAAAUAA
Molecule: long non-coding RNA, 839 nt
Organism: Bactrocera tryoni
Lineage: Eukaryota; Metazoa; Arthropoda; Insecta; Diptera; Tephritidae
Exons: 4
Source: RefSeq, a predicted model, not a curated record